RNAcentral lists this long non-coding RNA (36509 nucleotides) under Podarcis lilfordi (Lilford's wall lizard). The record is from RNAcentral. Lineage: Eukaryota; Metazoa; Chordata; Lepidosauria; Squamata; Lacertidae.
CAGAGGGCACCUGUUCCAGGUCACCCUCAAAUCUGCCAGUGCCUCUGUGCGUGGCAGAACUUUCAGUUUUGGAGCAGGCAGGAGUGUAUUGGAGGAGUUCGUUUGAUUACAGAAACAAGCAACAUUUAAGUGACAUCGCCUGCUUGGGCUGCAAAGGUACUGGCUUUUUUAAAGAGGGAGAGAAACAUGGGGAGGGAGUGAAAUGCCUAACUUUUCUCUUCCUCUCUUCCUCUCGUCUAAAUUCUCUAUUUAUUAGAUUUAUUUAUACUUCUGUAAGGAGAUUUGUAUUUUCUAUAUAGGUUUUGAGAUAAUCAUUAAAUAUUGGCCAAUCUGUUAACUCUUUGUGUGGUGUUUCCUCUUAAUCUCACAGAUAAUUUUGUAAGCUGUAUUCAAUCAUUUUUUCUAACCAGUCAGUUUUCAUGGGAAUAUUGUUACUUUUCUAAUUUUUUGCUAUUAACAUCCUCGCUGCGGUGGUCUUGUACAUAAAUAUAGAUCAGGCAGUUUUUGUAAUUUCUCGUGACAUAAUACCAAGUAAAAAAGCCUCAGGUUUUUUAUUGAAUGAAAAUUUAAACAUUUUUAAAAUUUCAUUAUAAAUAACCUCCCAGAAUUCUCUUAUUUUCUUGCACUUCCACCACAUGUUGAUAAAUGUGCCUAUUCCUUCUUUACACCUCCAACAAAUGUUCGUGUUCUUCUUAUAUAUCUUUGCCAAUUUGAUGGGGUUAAAUACCACCUGUAUUGCAUUUUCAGUACGUUUUCUCUUAAAUUAUAACAGAGUGAAUCAAAUAUCUUUUUUCCAUAAUCAUUCCCAGUCACUCAUAUGCUACUGUAAUAUGGAGCAAAGGAAACAUUUGUGAAAAAGAUGACCUUUCCUUGUAAUGAGAUUUUAAGCACAGCCUUAUAGAGCCUCCCAGUGAAAAAGGCUAAUUGAAUGGAAUGGGAUUUCCUCCUGAGUAAACAUGGUCAUAUGGUCAUAUGUUCCCUCAAUGGAGAGGGGAAUACAUAAUGUGCAUUUAUUUAUUUAUUGCUGCUUAGUACCAGUCUAACUGGGACAUGGGUGGGCUGUGGUCUAAACCACUGAGCCUAGGGCUUGCAGAUCGGAAGGUUGGUGGUUCGAAUCCCCACGACGGGGUGAGCUCCCGUUACUCAGUCCCAGCUCCUGCCAACCUAGCAGUUCGAAAGCACGCCAAAAAGUGCAAGUAGAUAAAUAGAUACCGCUCCGGUGGGAAGGUAAUCGGCGUUUCCGUGCGCUGCUCUGGUUUCACCAGAAGUGGCUUAGUCAUGCUGGCCACAUGACCCGGAAAAACUGUCUGGCUCCCUCAGCCAGUAAAGUGAGAUGAGUGCCGAAACCCCAGAGUCGUUCGCGACUGGACUUAACUGUCUGGAGUCCUUUACCUUUACCUUUUAAACACGGUCAUACUGUCUUUGUAUUAAACUGCAAAUUGUCUUCAAGCUGUGACUAUGAGGUUUUGGUCAUAUGCACCAUUAUUAAAAUUGAUUAAGCAAUUAAUCCAUGGAAAGGCAGUUGAUUUAUCAACUAGAAAUGGUUUAACUGGUUGACAGCCCUUGUCACAACACACACAUUGCAUAAAGAAACCAUGGCACAGAUGUGGUUUGCAUUGCACUCCACAAGAGGGCCAUAACGCAUCAGUCAUCCCUUAGUUUCCUCUUGGGAGAAGUGAGCUGAGUGAAUGUCUGUGUUUGUACAAGGAGGGGGUCAUGUUCUAGUCUGGCUACCUUUCCAAAUUCCUGGAUUGAUUCUGGCUGAAAUACAGCCCCAUUGAUCCAGGUAGUAAAAUCUCCCAUGGAAAUUGGUCUGCGGACUCCCUUUCCCUUCACAAGGGCAAGGCUCUUUUGCAGUGGAACUGGCAGGAUGCCUUAAUUGGCACUUUGAAUCUCUUCCGCUUAAGAGUUGUGACCAUACAUCUCUGAACAGGUUUCUGCCUUCUGUAAGAUUGGAAAAGAAGCGAUCAAUAGAAUCAAGUAAUCCAAAGAAAGCAAAGGGACGGCCCGUCUGCUGGGGUCCUGAGACACUCCCUGUCCUGGGACACCUGCCUCCAAUGAAUCCUGAGGUCUAUAAUAUAUCUUCAUGUGUGAUCCUGGUGAUACUUCUUUUUAAGUUGUUGGGUGUACUCAAGAUUAUUUUUUAUUAAUUACUUAUAUAUCCUGCCUUUGCCUCCAAGGAGCUAAGGUGAGACACAUGGUUCUUCCUCCUGCACCUGUGAGGUAGGUUAUACUGAGAGACUGUGAUUAGCUUUGUGGCUGAGUGAAGAUUUGAACCCUGGUCUCCCAGGUCCUUGCCCCAAACUUGGAUCUUGGCAUCCAGGAACUAUCCUUUCUAUAUAUUAUUUAUUAUUUUUAUUUAUUAAGUUUGUAUUCCGUCCUUCAUCCGAAGACCACAGGGCAGUUCACAACAUAACAAUAGAAACUAAGAACACAAAAUUCACAAUAAAGCAAAAACAAACCAAUAGCCCACCCCUCUAUAAACACAUUUAAAAGGAAUGUUAAUUAGCCAAAGGCCUGGUUAUAGAGAGAUAUUUUCACCUGGCACUUAAAGAUAUCUAACAAAGGUGCCAGGUGAGUCUCCCUGGGGAAAGUAUUCCAGAAGCAGGGAGCCACUGCAAAAAAGGCCCAUUCUUCUCUUACAACUCUCUGGACCUCUCAAGGAGGGGGAACAUGAAGAAGGACCUCAGGUGAUAGAAUCAUAGAAUCAUAGAAUCAUAGAGUUGGAAGAGACCACAAGGGCCAUCGAGUCCAACUCCCUGCCAAGCAGGAAACACCAUCAGAGCACUCCUGACAUAUGGUUGUCAAGCCUCUGCUUAAAGACCUCCAAAGAAGGAGACUCCACCACACUCCUUGGCAGCAAAUUCCACUGUCAAACAGCUCUUACUGUCAGGAAGUUCUUCCUAAUGUUUAGGUGGAAUCUUCUUUCUUGUAGUUUGGAUCCAUUGCUCCGCGUCCGCUUCUCUGGAGCAGCAGAAAACAAGCUUUCUCCCUCCUCUAUGUGACAUCCUUUUAUAUAUUUGAACAUGGCUAUCAUAUCACCCCUUAACCUCCUCUUCUCCAGGCUAAACAUGCCCAGCUCCCUUAGCCGUUCCUCAUAAGGCAUCGUUUCCAGGCCUUUGACCAUUUUGGUUGCCCUCCUCUGGACACGUGAUGAUCACAGGGUCCAGGCAAGUUCAUAUGGGGAGAGGUCCCCCCCUUUUUGCAGCAACGUUUUGCACCCUUAAAAGACAGUUUGUUUACUUAUUCAUUCCAUUUAUAUCCCACCUCUUUCUCCAAGGAGCUCAAGGUGGCAUAAAUGGUUUUCCUCACAUCUCCUUUUAUCCCCAUAACAACCCUGUGAGGUAGAUUAGGCUGAGAGGCAGUGGCUGGCCUAAAGUCACCCAGGUAGCUUCAUGGCCGAGUGGCAAUUUGAACCCUAGUCUCCCAGGUACUAUUCUGAUACUCUAACCACUACACCACACUGGCUCUCAAAAAUAUCAGGAACUUUCUUCACAGGUAACCAACCACAAAGGGACUCAAAUCCUUAGUCUUCUAGUCUGAAUUCAGACACCUUAUCCAUUAGGCCACGUGAUCAUCAUUUAGCCGUAGUGCUUUCCGAAUGUGUUGGAACUGAAUCAUGCAAGCGGAUCCAUUGUGGGUGGAAACAUUUGAUUAAACCAGCUUAAAAUGACAACAACAGAAAACUGUUGUGGGUUCAGUUUACUAACACAUGCUAGCUUCCAAGUUAGUGUAGGUGGAGCAAAUGAAUGCAACAUUCAGCAGGUGGCAUAUGCCGUGCUGUUGGUGUUGUGACAGGAGAGCCACUACACAAGAAUGCCCAUUUCCUUCCUUGAAAUGUUGUGAGGCAUAUUAGCUCUGGCCCGCAAAAUGAAACCAUAUGCUAUAACCACGUUCCUGGCUCCAGACCCCAAGGUCACUGUCAGGGGGUGUUAAGCAGGAUAUAGGAGCAAAGAGAAAAGGGAUGUGCAGAUGUGUAGAAACAGUACACAUUUGACAGAUUUGUAAUUAUGUGCUUAAUUUGCAUGAAUUUGAUGGUUUUGUGCAAACAUUUGACAUGUUUUAUUUAUCCAUUACUAUGCCAGUUUACUGCUGUUGCAGAACCCAAAAAAAUCCAACAACCUCGAUUCUGAAAAUUUGCUGGGAGGAGAAGAAUGUAUUAUGCAUAUUAUACCACUUAUGUAAAUGAUAUUGGAUUAUUUGCACUAAGAAUUGAAUCAAAUGUGAUUUAUUAGACAUAAACUCCUUUGCAGCAUCAGCAGAACUGAUAGCUUUCUUUGAGAUCUCAAUAUAUCCCUCACUCGGUUAGAUACUUCAUCCUCGCUCUGUAAGUCAGGAGGAAGGGUGAAAGCGGCAUUGGGAAGGCUGGCAAACAGCAGGCAAGGGCAGAGGACAAAGGCACUGAGGGUUAAUGGAGAGCAACAUGGAGAGGAGAAUGAAGAGCACAAAAACGUAUUUCCAUUAUGUUCUAGUGAUUGUCACUAUCUAAAGGAUCUACUUCUAUCACAGCUGCUGGAAAUCUCUCCCUGAGCCUUCCCAAUUGCAAAGCUUUAUAAGAUUGAUGCCCCACUUUGAUAGCUAUCCUCUACCACAAUGAGGUCUAGAAGCUUCUCCUUUUGAGAGAGCUGAGAAUCAUGAAUAAGCACUUGGUGCAAUAGAGCCUUUCCCCCAUAUAGUCUGCCCAGGUAGCUGUGAUUUGUGGAAGGAGUCUGCCUGAUUGUCCUGUCAUUUGGCUAGGGUUGGAGCAGGGCAUUUUGCACUAUGGUGCCCAUUUUGUGGAAUGAGCUCCCUAUGGAGAUCAGGGGAGCAUUGGAGGGGGUGCCAAACUGGGUCUUUGACCUGGGUAAAAUAAAGCCUAGUUUUGUCCCUACUGUCUGGAUGCUUUAAAAGUAUUUAUUUAAAUGGUUCUGCAUUUAUUGUGUUUCUAAAUUUAGACAUAGAUAAAUGAGUGUGUGAGAGAGGAAUUCAUUCAGGGGACCAGAGACAACACAUAUCACACUUCUGCACAACAGAGCAGGCUGUUUCAAUAAACUUUUUCUCUCCCUUACUUCCAUUUGUUGGAUCCUUAAGACCUAUGCUUAAUAUUAUUGUUGCCGAAUCUGCUGUUAGCUUUGAACGAAGAAAGCAGUAAGAGUGGCACCAGCUUAGGUGCUCUGAUAGGGAGUCGCAGACAUAAUGAAAAGAAAGGGGGAAAUGGCCCUUUUUUAGAGUGCAGGGGGCCUUCAGGUGGCUGAAGCUGAAGAGAUGGCGGGAAGAUCAGGAGUAGGGAUAUUGCAGGAUAUAAUGGGAAGUGAGACAAGAUCAUUUAAAGAGAAGGCCGUGAGGAAUCAGAAAACGGCUUUUGCAAAACCAGUUUAUGCCACACAUGUCUCUUUACCUUCCAGUUAACUGGAAGUACAUUUGGCCUGAAUGUUCUCCAGCAAAAUUAUUACUCAUUUAGUUCAAGCAUUGUUAUCCCACUCUUCAGCCAAAAAAGGCUUUCAAAAGUGGCUUACAAUAUCUAUAUAAAAAAGACAGUCACUACCCACUGACUUACAAGCUAAGAAAAACAACACAGAAGGAAAGGUCAUUAGGAGGGAAGAGGAAUGCAACAAACAGGCAUUAGUUCUUAGUUCCAAAGUUCACACUUGUAUUAAUUCUGGCACACAAGAGGGAGGCAAUCCCCAUGUAGCUGAAUGGGCCAGUUAGUGUCCCUCCCUUGGCCCACUUCAGCAGUCCCAGGGAAACUGGUAGUUAAAAGCGAAGGUUCUACCUGGUAGGGAAGGGGAUGAAAGCCUCUUUUAGCUGUUUCUUCUUUGGCCAGUGGGUGAGGUCUGGUUGUGUGCCUUGCUUGCCUGAUGGUCCUCCCCAGUAUCAUUAGCUCCAAUUGUUGGGAAGCUGCCUCCAAGACUGGGCUCAGGAUGCUGCCAUUUCUGCUGCACUCCAGAGAAGUCUGGUGCUGUGGGACAAGGAGGGGCUCCCACAGGUCUUAUUUUCUGGCUGUAAAACCAGCACAUUUACAAGAUGCCUCUGGUAACCUAGCACAAAUUUGUUCCAAAUGGCAUUGUGCAAAACUGUGGCCUGAUUUGUGCCAAUCCGAAAGUGAGGGCUUGCUUUAUGACUUGGAGAGAGAGUGAGGAGGGGCACUUUGAUCAUGCCGUGCUCCCAGCAUCAAAUUUUAAACGCUUGCUGACCCUUGUCACAGAAAGCUUUUUGACACAUGGCCUGUUGGCAUCUUUGGGCAGCAGCAAGCAUUACCUUGGGCUGGCUUGGCUACGCACUUGGUCAGAUUAGGCAUUCUGAGCAAAUUUGACAGAGCACAGCACUGUAGUGCCAUUAGAGAAUGAGAGCACUUCACCUAAGUGCCGCUCCCAGAUUCUAGGUCAGAAGGAACACCUGAGGUCAUCUAGCCUGAGAGGUCUCUUCUCAGCUGAAGGAAACAGUGAGGAAUUACUACUGGUUUUCUGGCAUACACACUUUUCAAACUGAUGUAUUUUUUUUUUAUAAGAUAUUUAUUAAGAUUUUCAAAAUAUUACAAAAUAAAAAUAGAAAAAAGAAAAACACAAAAAAUAAAAAUAGUUAAAAACAACUCAAUCUUUCCAUUACUUAUUUUUCAUUAGCUUGUUUCCCGGACCUCCUCACGCCUCCCUUUUUUGUAUUCCAGUUCGGUUUGUUGGUUCAGCAAAUCCUUCCCCUCUUUGUCUAUCCUAAUCAUUAAUCUUAAAAUAUUGUAACAUUAAAUUUUUACCUGUUAGUAAUCCAUUUUUCAUAAUCCCUUAAAGCAUUACAGCUGGAAACCACUUAAUUUCUAUCCAACAUCAUUCUAACAUUCAUUAAUUUUACAAUAUUUCUGUAAAUAGUCUUUAAAUUUCUUCCAAUCUUCUUCCACCGACUCUUCUCCCUGGUCCCGGAUUCUGCCAGUCAUUUCCGCCAAUUCCAUAUAGUCAAUCACCUUCAUCUGCCAUUCUUCCAGAGUGGGUAGAUCUUGUGUCUUCCAAUACUUUGCAAUAAGUAUUCUUGCUGCUGUUGUGGCAUACAUAAAAAAAGUUCUAUCCUUCUUUGGCACCAAUUGGCCGACUAUGCCCAGGAGAAAGGCCUCUGGUUUCUUCAAGAAGGUAUAUUUAAAUACUUUUUCAAUUCAUUAUAGAUCAUCUCCCAGAAAGCCUUAAUCCUUGGGCACGUCCACCAAAGGUGAAAGAAUGUACCUUCAGUUUCUUUACAUUUCCAACAUUUAUUAUCGGGCAAAUGAUAGAUUUUUGCAAGCUUGACUGGAGUCAUGUACCACCUAUAUACCAUUUUCAUAAUAUUCUCUCUUAAGGCAUUACAUGCCGUAAACUUCAUACCUGUGGUCCAUAACUGUUCCCAGUCAGCCAUCAUUAUAUUAUGUCCAAAAUCUUGUGCCCAUUUAAUCAUAGCAGAUUUCACCGUUUCAUCCUGAGUAUUCCAUUUCAACAGCAAGUUAUACAUCUUUGACAAAAUCUUAGUUUUGGGUUCUGUCAGGGAACUGACAUCAGAGCGAGAGGCGAAGGGGAGGCUNNNNNNNNNNNNNNNNNNNNNNNNNNNNNNNNNNNNNNNNNNNNNNNNNNNNNNNNNNNNNNNNNNNNNNNNNNNNNNNNNNNNNNNNNNNNNNNNNNNNGGUUGAUAUUUGUUUCAUCUCCAUCCUUACAGCAUUAUGGUCGGAGCAGGUUUUGGGCAGAUUUCUACUUUCUUUAUCUUUGGUGCCAUUCCUCUAGUUAUCCAUAUUUGGUCAAUUCUAGUCCAUGUCAUCUUGGCUUCAGAAAAGAAGGUUCCCUCUCUUCCCAAGGGGUUCUUUACUCUCCAGAUAUCCACUAAGUCUAUAUUGUCUGUCAUCUCAAAAAUGUUUUCGGUAGUCUACCAUCCUUGGUAACUACCUGUCUUUGUGCCUUAUCCAUGUUUGUAGAUACUACUCCAUUCAUGUCCCCCAUCAAAAUCAAAUUGUAAUCCAAAUAGUCCAGUAAAGUCUCGUGCAACUUUUAAAGAAUUCAGAUUUCCCCUCAUUCGGUGCAUAAAUUCCUACUAUCAAGAAUUUCUCUCCUUGAACUUGAAUUUCAAUUGCCAAAAAUCUUCCUUGGUCAUCUUUAAAAAUUAAUUUCGGUGAUAGUCUCUCCUUUGCAUAUAUCACAACUCCUCUUUUUUAACUUUGUCAGAUGAGAUAAACUCCUGUCCCAAUCUUUUAUUAAUCAGUAGUUUCCUGUAGCCUUGUUAUAUGUGUUUCUUGUAAACAAAUCAAGUCCAAUUGUUCCUUUUUAGUAGAUGAAAAACACUUUUUCUCUUUCGAGGAGUUCAAACCAUUACAAUUCCAGCUUAACAGUUGCAGAGCCAUGAUGGGGUUACUUCACUUUACCUCCAACUGCACCAAGUGUCUGUUCUUGUUCUGUAGAUGGUGUCUCUUUCUCUGGGCCGUGCAAUCCAAAGAUAAGUUUGCUAUGUCUAGUAUGCCUUUUGGCUCUUCUCCAGAUUCCGCUUCUUUCUGUAGGUCUUCUUCGUGAUCUUUCAAGAACCUGUCCUUAUCAUUAACUGAUCUUAUUUUUAUCUUUCUUCCUUUGUAUUUAAAGGAUAGGCCUUGAGGAAAUUCCCACCUGAAAAGAAUUCUAUUUCUUUUCAACAGGGCAACUAGGUCUCCGUAGUUAAACCUUAAGUCCAAAAGAUGUUUUGGAAUGUCCUUAAAUAUCACCACACUUGAGUCGUAAAUUUCCAAAGUCUUUUGAUAGUGCAAAUUCAAAAUUUUGUCUCUCUCUUCUUUUGUUCGAAGGGUAAUCAAGCAGUCCCUCACCUUGUUCCUGCUUUGUCCUCUUCCAAGUCUAAAUGCAUUCACUAUCUUAAAUUCUUCCUUCCCCAAGUCCUGUUGCCAAAAAUCUGUAAAUUCCUGUGUAAGAAAGUCAGCCAGGUUAUCUUUCUCCCGUUCUGGUACGGCCCUGAUUCUUAAAUUUCUUUGUCUCUCUUUCAAUUCAAUCAUAGACAAUGUCAAAUCGUGGUCCUCCAAUUUCUUAUAUACUGGUGGUAUCUUCUCUUGAAUAGCAGUUGCAAUAUCUUUUGCUUCUUCGGCUAUCUUUUGGGUCGAAGCAGAUUCCUGUAAUAAUUUUUCAAUAGACUCUGUAUUGGUGUUCACCUUCUGUCCCAAAUUAUUAAUACUUGUAGUAUUCAGAUCAAUUUUACCUGAUGCUUCAGCUACUUGUUUAUUAGUCUCAGCUACCUGCUUAGCUAAAUUUUCCAAAGAUUCAUUAAUUUUUCCAAGUGCAUGUGCCAAAACGUCUCGGACGACAUAACUUUUGGUUUGACCUGUGGGGGUGCAGCCCCUGAUGUUCCAGAUGCUCCAGAUGUUGAAGCCCUUUGCUGCUGCGCAGUAUCUGUCCGAUAGUGUCUGCCAGACCUAGUAGUUUUUUCCUGCGCCAGCUCUAUCUUUCCUUUCCCAUCUGCUAUAACACUCUCAUGAGAAUUCAAGGUCGUUCCCACAGUUGAAAGUUUGUUUUGAAAUGGAAUUUUCCUCUAACCCAGUUGUUAUUGUAACAAUGUCCAGCCUCCUCUAGGGGGACACAGUAACAGCCAAAGCUUGCAACUUUUAAGAACAAAGAGGGUCUUUAUAAGUCCCCCAAUUCACUUAAAAAACAACAGUUUCAUUGCACUUGAACAGUUACUUUAAAGCCAGGAGAAGUCCAGAAACACUGUAUCUCUUCUGCAGAGUUAGCUGUCAAAAAUCCUCUGCUUACCGAUAGGCUUUCCACUGAACGGCAUUCCUUGUCUAGGGGCAGUCCGUUCCCAGGUUUUAAGCAGCAGAUUUUAGCUUCCUUUCCCCCCUUUUUUUGCAGGUAAAUACAACUCAAACCUUCCCCCCUCCUCUCCUGCAAUCCGGAGGGGAGACCACUUUCCAGAUGUUAAGAUUUAAGUCUUUUUUCCGAACGUCUUUCUAUGUUUCCGCUUUACAGUCUCUUUGCUUUGAUCUAUUUACAAGAAAGGAAGGCAGACUUCCUGAUUAUACCUUCCCGCUUCAGUGCCGAAUUAGCUAUUUUUUUCUCCUUUUAAAUCCAAUUUAAUCCUACUCACGGGUAGUUGCUUUCAAAAUCCAAUUAUCCCAGGAAAAAGUCAGCGCUCUCCGAUAACGGCUGUGCGGCUUCACUCCGCGGAAGAAGCAGUCGACUCUCAGCACCGCGCCGCUCACCCCGCCCCGCUCCGGUGCCCUUAAAAGGGUCCCUUCGCAGCUUGGGGGGGCGCAAAUGGUGCCCGCCGAGUCCCCACGUUCACAGGCUUCCCCCGCCUGUGAUUUCUAAAGGGUCCCCGCUUUGCCGCAGCGGUAAGACCCGAUCCAGCGGAGCUGGUCCCUCCGAGAAUCAGAGGGAAUCCGCCAUUAACGAUGGCGCUGACCCCGGAGUCAUUUCCCAAUAUUUCGGCCAUUUGCUAUAUCUAAUAUUCCUCUUUCCAGUGCUUUUGGCUCUUCUCCAGAUUCCACUUCUUUCUGUAAGUCUUCUCCAUGGUCUUUCAAGAAUCUAUCUUUGUCAACGACUGAUCUUAUUUUUAUCUUUCUUCCUUUAUAUUUAAAAGACAGGCCUUGGGGAAAUUCCCACCUAAAGAUGAUUCUAUUGCUUCUCAACAGGGCAACCAAAUCUUUGUAAUCCAAAAGAUGUUUUGGAAUGUCCUUAAAUAUCUCCACACUUGACUCAUGUAUUUCCAAAGUCUUUCGGAAAUGCAGAUUCAAGAUUUUGUCUCUCUCCUCUUUUGUUCAAAGGGUAAUCAAACAGUCUCUCACCUUGUUCUUCUUUCCUCCUCUUCCAAGCCUGAAUGCGUUCACUAUCUUAAAUUCUUCCUUCCCCAAAUCCUGUUGCCAGAAGUCUGCAAAUUCCUGCGUAAGAAAGUCAAUCAAAUUAUCUUUCUCAAGUUCAGGUACAGCCCUGAUUCUCAAAUUCGUUUGUUUCUCCUUCAAUUCAAUAAUAGACAACGUCAACCCGUGGUCCUCAAGUUGCCUAUAUAUCGGUGGUAUCUUCUCUUCAGUAGCCGUUGCUAUGUCCUUUGCUUCUUCAGCUCUCUUUCGGGUCAAAGCAGAUUCCUGUAACAAUUUCUCAAUAGUCUCUGUAUUGGUGUUCACCUUCUGUCCCAAAUUAUUAAUACUUGUAGUAUUUUGGUCAAUUUUAACUGAUGCUUCGGCUACUUGUUUAUUUGUUUCAGCUACUUGUUUACUUAAAUUUUCCAAAGAUUCAUUAAUUUUUCCUAGUGCCAAAGCUAAAACGUCUUCAGACGACAUUCCUUUUGGUUUAACUUGUAGGGGUGCAGCCCCUGAUAAUCCAGAUGGUCCAGAAGGACCAGAUGUUGAAGCUCUUCGCUGCGACCCAGUAUCUGUACGAAAGGAUCUGCCAGACCUGGUAGUUUUUUCCUGAAUCUCUAACUUUCCUCUUCCAUCUGCCAUAACACUCUAAUAAAAGUCCAAGGUCAGUCCCACGGCUGGAAUUUGUUUUGAAAUGGAAAAUUCCCCUAGCCCAGUUGUUAUUGUAGCAAUGUCAAACCUCCUCUAGGGGACACAGUAACAGUCAAAGCUUGUAACUUUAAGAAGAAAAUAAUCUUUAUAAAUCCCCCAAUUCUCAAAAAGACAACAGUUUCAAUUGCACUUAAUCAGUUACUUUAAAACCAGGAGAAGUCCAGAAACACUGUAUCUCUCUUGCAGAGUUAGCUGUCAAAAAUACUCUAUUUACCAAUAGUGCUUUUCACAGAACAGCAUUCCUUUUUUUUUUAAAUGAUAUUUAUUAAAGUUUCACAAAGAAAGAAUCACAUCAACAAAAAAAAGAAAAAUUCAAGAAUAAAAAGAAAAAAGAAAAAACAGUUAAAAACAAUUCCCUCUUUUCAUCACUACUUUUACAUUUACUUGUUUCCCGGACCUCCUCAUACCUCCCUCUUUUGUAUUCCAAUUCAGUUUGUUAGUCCAGCAAUUCCUUUACAGAACGGCAUUCCUUGUCCUAAGGCAAUCCGUUCCCAGGUUCUAAGCGGUGGAUUUUAGCUUCCUUUCCUCUCUUUUUUUUGCAGAUAAAUACAGUUCAAACCUUUCCCCCCUCCUCUCCUGCAAUCCGGAGGGGAGAUCGCUUUUCUGAUGUUAGGAUUUGCGUCCUUUUUCAAGCAUCUUUCAAAGUUUCCGCUUACAGUCUCUUUGCUUUGAUCUGUUUACAAGAAACGGAAGGCGGACUUCCUGUUUAUGCCUCCCCGCUUCGGUGCCGAAUUAAUUGUUUUCUCCCUUUAAAUCCAAUUUUUUCCUACUCACGGGUAGUUGCUUUUGAAUUCGAAUUGUCCCAGGAAAAAGUCAGUGCUCUCCAAUAACGGCUGUGCGGCUUCACUCCGCGGAAGAAGCAGUCGACUCUCAGCACCGCGCCGCUCACCCCGUUUCGCUCCGGAGCCCAUAAAUGGGUUCCUUCGCAGAUUGGGGGGGGCGCAAAAGGUGCCCGCCGAGUCCCACGUUCACAGGCUUCACCCGCCUGUGAUUUUUAAAGGGUUCCCGCUUCGCCGCAGCGGUGCAGACCUGAUCCCGCGGAGCUGGUCCCUCAGAAAGUCAGAGGGAAUCCGCCAUUACCGAUGGCGCCAACCCGGAAGUCCCUCAAACUGAUGUAUAUACUGUAGCUCACACCCUCUUUUUGGCGUGCAGAAUGCCCUUCUUCGGAGAAGACUUUGGUACAGUUUGAUUUGAAAGAUGGCUCAACGGCCUUUGAUAGUUGGUGGUCUCUCACAACUGGGCCCACUCCUGACAGCUAAACAAAAGAGUUUGAAUGCAGCUUUGCAGCUGGCUGGUAAGAUGACACUGGGAUGGGAGGGAGGCUCCCAAGGCAGGCUGCUAUUCAGACUCACACUGUAUGUCUGGAUGCUGAAGAAACAGAUAAUGCAAAACACCAUCAAUCUCCAGCCUUCUGUUCUUUGUGGGAAAACUGGCUCUCUAAAAUGUUCCUUCUGGAACAUCCUACCAUGUGGGGGUGGGGGGAAGAGUGAGGAUCACAAAACUAAUCUUGAUUUUCCAAAGUUUUCCUUUCAGAAAGCUCCAAAUGACUUACUAGGGGCCUCCAGUGCUCCUGUGGUUUGACCAAGGCAGAACAGAGGGAGACUAUUAGUUCCCUUGAUCCAGAUGCUAGACUUCUGUUGAUGCAGCCUAAAAUAGCAUUAGCUUUUUUUUGCUGCUGCAUCACACUGUUGACUCAUGCUAAGCUUGUGCUCCACCAAGACCCCUAGAUCCUUUUCACAUGUACUGCUAGUAAGCCAGUUGUCUCCCAUCUUAGAUUUGUGCAUCUGGUUCUUCCUGCCUAAGUGCAGAAUAUUACAUUUGUCCCUAAUGAAAUUCAUUUUGUUAGCUUGCGACCAGUUCUCCAAUCUGUUAAGGUCAUCUUGAACUCUGAUUCUGUUUUCUGAGGCAUUAGCUACCCCUCCCAGUUUGGUGUCAUCUGCAAAAUUUGAUGAGCAUCCUCUCAAUUCCUUCAUCCAAGUCAUUUAUGAAGACAUUGAACAACAACGGGCCAAGGACAGAACCCUCUGGCACCCCACUUGUCACUUUUUCCCUGGAUGAUGAGGAACCAUCAAUGAGUAUUCUUUGCAUUCAGUCAGUCAACCAGCCACAAAUCCACCUAACAGUUAUCUCUUUCAACCCACAUUUUACUUUCUCGCAAGAAUAUAAUGGGCUAGUUUCUCAAAAGCCUUACUGAAAUCAAGAUACACUAUGUCCACAGCAUUCCCCUGAUUCAUCAAGCUUGUAACUCCAUCAAAAAAAGAAAUGAGAUUUGCCUGACAUGGCCUAUUUUUGAGAAACCUAUGUUGGGUCUUGGUAAUCACGGCAUCCUUUUCUAAGUGCUAAGUUCAAUUGUUGAAUUAUCUUUUCUAGGACCUUUCCUGGUAUUGAUGUCAAGCUCACCGGUCAGUAGUUACCCUGGUCUUCUCCCCCCCCCCCACCUUUUGAAGAUGAGGACACCAUUUGUUCACCUCCAGUCUGCAGGAACCUCACCCGUUCUCCAAUAAUUCUCAAAGAUCAUAGACAAAGGCUCUGAGAUUACAUCCGCAAGCUCCUUUAGUACCCUUGGAUGCAGUUCAACGGGUCCUGGAAAUCUGAAUUUAUUUAAACUAGUUAGGGGUUCCUUACUACCUUUUUUGCUAUCUUGGGCUGCAGCUCCCUCCUUUCGUCAUUUAUUCUGUUAUCACCCAGUCGGGCAUCGCUUUCCUAUUGGGUGAAGACAGAGGCAAAGUAGGUGUUGAGUAGUUCUGCCUUCUCUCUGUCACCCAGUCCUAUACACGUCUUCUCAGACAUGCCCCAUUAAGUUACUCUCCCCAGAAGUGCCUUUAGGGUGGCAGCUGUAGUGAACUUUUAGAUGCUUUGAUGAUGGCAAUGGCAUUAGCUUUUGUAGCGCAUAGUCAAGAUGCCAUGCCAAUAAUAAAUGAAGAACAACCAGAGAAGAAUUGUAGCCAGAUGGCAGCUGCUUGGGUUUUCCUCCUAGCCCGCCUAUUUUAUCAAGCUGAGUUUUCUUGCAUACUCUGAAUAAUAUGUCAUCUGAAAAAUGAAGAGCUUGCUUUUUGAUGGGGAUGGAGCACUUCUGAUACUCAUGUGCAAUUAAAAGAAAUGACUUGAACUUUUGCCAAGAUGCUGAUGGCACAGAUGGCAGCUGAUCCCAACCUCAGAGGGCCACAGAGGAUUGUCUGGAGUGCACAACUGAAUCCUCCUGGCUUUGCUCAUGGGAGAGGGAAAGCAGCUGACACACACUCAGAGAGGAGCUAAGCACACUCCAAGCUGACCUCAGAGCUCUAAUGCCCAGCUUUCUGCCUAAUUCUGCAGUCUGCAGUCUUUUCAGAUACUGUCUUUGGAUCUGCCUUGCUCACCAUUUCCUUCCUAAAUAACUUUUCUCUUGCAUUCCUCUCUUAUGGCGUUAAUUUCCCAAUGUAUGAGCCAUGAGCAAACAAUCUAUGAGAAAGGGAUUGGAUAAUUAUUGUUACACACCACCACAAUUUCUGCUGAGUGGCUACACAAGAUUCCAAGGGUUCCAGGCGCUCAUGCAGAGUUGUGUUUCUGUUGAGAAGUCAAGGCACAGCAGAGACUAGUGUCUUUAAGAAAUGUAGUUUAUUGUACACAUAUUGACACCUGGGUCUAACUUUGGAGAGGGUUCCAUCUCAAGAGAGGCUUGCCCCAACAGCAGUGCAGCAGUGGGGUCCACGGCAUCCUGCUUGCCAUCAUCUCCAUGGCUCUGUCUCAGCCUCCAAUAUGGUUCUGCCCCACAUGGCCUCUGCCUGGAGUUCUGGCUCCAUCCCAAAGACCCUUGCCAGAAAAAAACAAACCAAGCCUUGUGAAAUGAAACAUUUUUCCUGUGAGCACAGCCUGCCUCUCCCCUGUUUUCCUAGCCAUGGAAACUGAAAUCCUAAACCUUUCUCCACCCAUGAUAACCAUGGGAACUCCCGCCUCUGCCCUGGGUUAAUGACUUGCUUCUGGCACCUUUAGUCAUUCUUAAUGACCUCUAUCCCAUAUCCUCCAACAUCCCCCAAGCAAUGGAAACCCCACUGAACUAAAUGAGGGCUCUUUACUUCCAUGCCCUCCAAGUGUCCCGAUUUUCCAGGGACGGUCCUGGAAUUACAAAAGCCAUCCAUGCUUCUGAUUUGAUCCUGGAAUAUUCCUAUUUCCUCCACCAGUGGAGUCAGCCCUUGUCCUGAGCUGCGGCAGCAGCAACAGUGGCAGAUGCAAGGGAGCACCCUGUUGCCUCUCUGUAGCCUUUCCAAGCUUAGCCUGUAUUUUUCACUGGCCUGGCACCUUCCCUCCAACAUUCCAAAUAUUAUCUAAAUUCUGCCAUUUAUUAAUUUCAAACAUUCACCAACUCUAGUAUUUAUGGGUGCCCUUGUGCCCCAAAUCUUUGCUACCCUAGAUUUGUAACAUUAUGCUUCUCCUCCAAGUGAACCCCAAAGUAACUGAAGGCACAGAAGGCUCAGAAGAGGUUGCUCAGAGUGUUGCUGCAUGACUGAUCCACUGCACUGAGUUUUGUCUGCUUCUAGCUAGCCUCUGGUGACAGUAAAUCACUCUAUCCCAUUUCUGCAUUGGGGGCAGUUGAAGCAUUUGAUCACUCUUGCUUUGGAGCACAGCAAAAUCUCCUGAUUCCAGGCAAGCAAUGAGCACCUGCAAUGGGCAUCACUCUUUUUAACCAGGUGACAUACCCAGGACGGUUCAUGCAGAAGGGUGAGGGGGGCUGCUCUAUGGGCGGGGAGCUCUCUCCACUUUCCUCCCUCUUUCCUAGCAAGCCUUUAGCACAGAAAUCCACAUAAUUUUAUACUGGCUGCAGUUUGGUUUGGGUUUUUUUAGAUCUAAACUUUAUCUCUAAAAACCUCUUUUUAAAAAAUGAAAGAGCAAGCUUCACUAGAGCUGCUGAAAUUUCAGAAGACAGAGGAGGGUUGGCUGAAAUAGAUCUCCAUUGAUAGAAGUGGGGCUUCAAUAUCCCACCUAGCCCCCAUAACUAUCCAAAACAAGAGAAAUAGUGAUAGCAUUCAUGAUUUACACAGGUUGCAGAACUCAGUGUCUGUUAGUGGAGAAUUUCCUCUUUAGUGUGUGCAUAUGCUGUAUGACACACCACAUAGCACAUAGAGCAUUUAAAUGCACAUGACCAUCAAGCAGGGAAGUCCUGCCUUGCAUAUUCUACCACACCAUUACAAACAGGAAAGGAAUCAGCACAGAGUAAAACACUUCCCUUCUUGCUUCCUGAAACCAUGACCUACUGCAGAAAAGAAACGUCUGUAUGUCACUCCCAGAGCUGCCUGGAGCACGGCUCUGCUGAAUCACUACCUGCUGAAAAGAAAAAGUGUCCCUGUUUUAUCUUCCUCCUUUGGUGGUUUCUAUAGCAACAUCCCUGCAAUGCCUCCUUCCAGAGUGCUUGUCUCAUUGAUCACAUUAGAAGCCAAAAACUUUCGAGCCAAUAUUUGCCAUCAAGGAAGUGUGGGAUGGAGAGAGAAAGAAAGAGAGGGAGGAAGAGUUUUUGCACAUAUUAUAUAUAUCCGGUGUGACAUUUACCUUGGGUGGCUAAGUCCUAAAAAGAAAGACACGAGGCAUCUAAAGCUGCAAAGCAAGACACGGGAAGCAUCCAUGGUAGGAUUAGCAACUGGUGGCCUCUGAGUCUCCCUGAUAGGGGGAUUAUCUGGCCUCCCACAAAAUUCUGACAGUCUGGAGGCAACCACAGUCACGUCCUGUCAUUUCCCAACCCCAACACCUGAACAUCAUUGUUGGUACAGACUCUCUUCUUCCAUGUAGGAACAGAACUAUAGGUAAUUGCUUUCAUUUGGUCAGUCUUGAUCCACAACUGCAUCACCCAUCCUUUUCUAAGGUGGGUUGUGCUGUAUCACUAACACAAUUUUUUUGGUAGCUGUUGUUUAUGGUGGUAUUUUUAAGAGAAGGACCAAAGAACAGCAACAACAAUGUGGCAGCAAAGAGAGGAGCAAAACAAAUACAGACGGUCAGCUACAUAAAUAAUUAAAAAGGGAUCCUAUUGUGGUCCAGGGGUAAAGGUGGGCCCUGGGUCUGAAAAGGUUGGGAACUACUUGCCUUUGAAAGGAAAGAGAUGAUAUUCUCCAGAAAGAAUCUAAGGAAUAUCGGUAUUGUUAUGAGAUGGGGAGGGCAGGUUAUAUGCCGAGACCCUUCUAAUCCCUGGAUCCAGCAUGUGUUAAAAUCUAAGCAAGGGUUCAAAUUCCUGAAAUAGCUAGGCUGGCUUCCUGGUGAGGUAAUGGUGAGGUAACAAAAGGAAUGUUAAGGUAACAAAGGAAGUAGAUCUGUGCCAGAAAACAAAUGGGUGGGCUUCUCUCCCUCAACUCACUGGUAGUUAGAAAGACAAAAUUCAGGGUGGAGAGUGGAGUUAUGUGAGGUGGAAGCUGGAAGCAAGGCUGCAGGCUGGGAAGGCAGAAAGUCAGAGCCAUGCCUGAUUUCUGCUGAAAUCCAAUGCUGUGGCUGUGGGAGAAGCAAGACCCUCUUGCGGUGCGAAUGCUGUGAACCCCUCCAGUAUAGGCUCAGGUUGUAUAUAUGUGUAAUUAACUAUGUGUCAUAAGGAAACCACAGCCUCUGCUGUACCUCAUUCCAAAGGAAACACAAACCCCUGGUAAGCUCCUGGAACUCCGGAAAUCCUACAUUGCUCAGAGAUUGGGGUGACAUGGAACAGAAUGUUUAGUCUCUAGUGAAUGAAAGGGCAAAUGUAUGCAUAUUCUCUAGAAUCCAGUGGAUGUGUGGAGAACGACUGUAGCUCCGUGGUAGCACACAUGCUUUGCAAGCCAAGUAUUGGCUCAUGAUGCAUAGCCAUACGGUCAAGUGGGUCCCUGCACAUAUAACAUGCUUUUUGUACAUUGGUAAAUUAUGGACUGUGAUGCCUUGUGUGGUGUGUUGAGUUGGCAUUCCCUCUUGCACAUGCUGGGAGCUGAUUCAUUUAGCUCCAUUGCCUGGCAGUGGCUCUCCAGGAUUUUAGACAGUCCAGGUCUACUUGGAGAAACUGGCCAUUGCACCCAGGGUCAUCUACAUGCAAAGAAUGUACUCUACCACAAAGUAGCAACUCUUUCCUGAGUGAGGUGUAUUCAGCACCACAAUGCCAAAAGUUUUCCAUAAAACAUCAAUUGAAACUCUUAUAUGAAACACAGAAGUGUUUCAAAUUAUUGCUGCAUGACUACCAGAAAGUCAAGUUUAGAUUUACAAAGCACAAAUCUGUUUUCUCAAGAAUGAUAAAGUACAUGCCUGUCAACUGGAAGUUGAUAUGGAUGAAAUUGCCCAUACAUAAUUCCCACUAGAACAAAAAUUGAGUUUACAAAGCACCACCAGAAUGCUGGUGCAAAAAUAAUUCAAUAGAUGUUUGUUGGAUGCAUUUCAAUGUGCUGGUUGUUCUCAAUGGUACUAAAUUAUAUAGGUUUAAGUUAAAAUGGAUCCAGGUGGACCAGCAAGCACCAGUCUUCUGUGCUUUUGAGGACAGGGGGUAUAUUCAGCGGAUAUGCCUGUAUGAGCCUACCCUUAUGAGCUGGAUAUUUCCUGGAUGAUUUUGCCCCUUUCUUUUUGUGGUUUAAACAGAGGCAGCUCCAGUGUCUCUUGCAUCCACUUGAGCCCCAAACUCUUUGCUCUACCUUCUCUUAUUUGGGCCACACCUUUUCCUUUCCCAUUCAACCAUAUUCAUUCACUUACCAUAUUCUUCACACCCCUUUCACCUUCAUCCAAUGGGUGAAAAAAUAAUCCCAUUAAUGGUUUCUGUGGUGUAUUUUGUUGGAUUUCUAGUAUGUGGUAGAAAUUCAAACACAAAUCAUUACAAACAACAAAAAAUAUCUUUUAAAGGGGAAAUCAUUUAUUUAUUUCAUAAAAGUUAUACACUGAUUGAUUGUAAAAACCUCAAAGUGGUUUACAAGAGAUAAAAUAGUAAAAUCAAGUAAAAUUCACAAGCCUACUUUCAUGAUGAUUAUAUUAUUAUUAUUAAUAAUAAUAAUAAUAAUAAUAAUAAUAAUAAUAAUAAUAAUUUGUUUAUAGCCCACCCAUCUGGCUGGGUUUCCCCAGCCACUCUGGGCGGCUCUCAACAGAAUAUUAAAAACAUGAUAAAACGUCAAAAAUUAAAAAUUUCCCUAAACAGGGCUGCCUUCAGAUGUCUUUUAAAGGUGAGAUAGCUGCUUAUUUCUCUCACAUCUGAAGGGAGGGCGUUCCACGGGGUGGGCGCCACUACCGAGAAGGCCCUCUGUCUGGUUCCCUGUAACCUCACUUCUCGCAAUCAGGGAACUGCCAGAAGGCCCUUGGCGCUGGAUUUCAGUGUCCGGGCUGAAUGAUGGGUGGAGACGCUCCUUCAGGUAUACAGGACUGAGGCCAUUUAGGGCUUUAAAGGUCAGCACCAACACUUUGAAUUGUGCUCGGAAACGUAUUGGGAGCCAAUGCAGAUCUCUCAGGACCGGUGUUAUGUAGUCCAGGCAGCCACUCCCAGUCACCAGUCUAGCUGCUGCAUUCUGGAUUAAUUGCAGUUUCCGGGUCACCUUCAAAGGUAGCCCCACGUAGAGCGCAUUGCAGUAGUCCAAGAGGGAGAUAACUAGAGCAUGCACCACUCUGGUGAGACAGUCUGCGGGCAGGUAGGGUCUCAGCCUGCGUACCAGGUGGAGCUGGUAGACAGCUGCCCAGGGCACAGAAUUAACCUGUGCCUCCAUGGACAGCUGUGAUUCCAAAAUGACUCCCAGGCUGCGCACCUUCAGGGGCACAGUUACCCCAUUCAGGACCAGGGAGUCCCACACACCCGCCCGCCCCCUGUCCCCCAGAAACAGUACUUCUGUCUUGUCAGGAUUCAACCUCAAUCUGUUAGCCGCCAUCCAUCCUCCAGCCACCUCCAGGCACUCACACAGGACCUUCACCGCCUUCACUGGUUCUGAUUUGAAAGAGAGGUAGAGCUGGGUAUCAUCUGCAUACUGAUGAACACCCAGCCCAAACCCCCUGGUGAUCUCUCCCAGCGGCUUCAUAUAGAUAUUAAAAAGCAUGGGGGAGAGGACGGAACCCUGAGGCACCCCACAAGUGAGGACCCAGGGGUCUGAACACUCAUCCCCCACCACCACUUUCUGAACACGGCCCAGGAGGAAGGAGCGAAACCACUGUAUAACAGUGCUCCCAGCCCCUCUAGACGGUCCAGAAGGAUGUUAUGGUCAAUGGUGUCAAAAGCCGCUGAGAGAUCCAGCAGAACUAGGAAACAGCUCUCACCUUUGUCCCUAGCCCGCCGGAGAUCAUCGACCAGUGUGACCAAGGCAGUUUCAGUCCCAUGAUGAGGCCUGAUUCCCGAUUGGAAGGGAUCCAAAUGGUCCGCAUCCUCCAGGCAUGCUUGGAGUUGCUCAGCAACCACGCGCUCAAUCACCUUGCCCAAGAAUGGAAGAUUUGAGACUGGGUGAUAGUUAGCCAUAUUGGCUGGGUCUAAAGAUGUUUUUUAAGAAGCGGUUUAAUGACCACCUCUUUCAGCGGAUCUGAGAAGGCUCCCUCACAUAGGAAAGCAUUCACCACCCCACAGAACCCAUCACCCAGCCCUUCCCGGCUUGCUUUUAUGGACAAGGAUGGACAAGGCUCAAGAAGACAGGUGGUUGGUUUCACUCGUCCAAGCAGCCUGUCCACAUCCUCAGAUGUAACAGACUGAAAUUGAUCCCAUAUAAUAUGACUAGACAGGACUCUAGCACACUCCUGCCCCGGCCCUGCUCCCAUGGUGGAGUCUACCUCUUUCUGAAUCUGAGCGACUUUAUCUGCAAAAAACUUUGCAAAAGCAUUGCAAGAGAUCUUGGGGUCCAGGUGGUGCAGGUGGUUCCAAUAGAUUGUGAACCACCUCAAAGAGUCUCCUGCUGCUGUUUUCUGAAGAUGCAAUAGAGGUGGCAAAGAAGGUCCUCUUCGCCAUUGCCAUCACCACUUGGUAGGCUCGACGUUGAGCACUAACCCGUGAGUGAGUUUCCCGCCGGCAUUCUAGCCGUCUCAGCAAUUGUUUCCUCGCCCUCAGCUCCGAAGAAAACCAUGGGGCUGUCCGGGCUCCAUGCAAUCGGAGAGGGCGCUUCGGAGCCAGACAGUCAAAAACCCUGGUUAACUUUGCAUUCCAGCGGGCCACCAGGGAAUCAGCUGAUUCACUGAAAGGCCAUCAACAUGGGAUAAAAAAUCCCCUACCACUCUCUGGAAACCAUUUGGAUCCAUUAAGCAGCGGGGGCAGACCAUCCAAAUCGGUCCCACCUCCCUGCAGAGGGGAAGGGUCGCGGAGAAGUCCAGUUGCACCAGGAAGUGAUCUGACCAUGGCACUUCUUUUGUUUCACUUUUACUUAAUGUCAGAUCACCAACAUCCAUAGAGGUGAACACCAAGUCUAAGGCAUGUCCGCGGCUAUGAGUUGGGCCAAACUUAUUCAGGGACAGUCCCAUGGAGGCCAUGCUUUCCACGAAGUCCCGAGUGGCCCCUUGUAAGGUCGUGUCGGCAUGGAUGUUAAAAUCCCCUAGGACAAUCAAUCUGCCAUGACCUGAAGCACCUCGGGCAGGGAAUCCUUGGUGCAGCGAGGAGGUCAGUACACCAAAAGGAAUCCUGUACUGCCCCUAUUGCCCAACUUCCAGAACAUGCACUCAGAAAACUGGUUCUUCCCAAUAGGAUGCCUGGUGCAAACUAGUGACUUCCUAAAAAUCACUGCAACCCCCCCUCUCCCCGCCCACAUGACCUGGGUUGCUGUGCGUAAGAGAAACCUGGUGGACAAGCAGCAGCAAGGACAGGCCCAUCUGCUUCAUCAAACCAGGUCUCUGUCACACAUGCCAGGUCAAAUUCUUCAUCCAUAAUCAGGUCUUGGAUGGCAGUGGUCUUAUUCAUCAUUGACCUGGCAUUGCACAGCAACACUUUCAGGUCAUGUGGGUUUCCCUUGCUGAUUCCAGUAUCCUUCUGGUCAGGACCAGACCUGGAGGCAGGGAUAGUCCUUAGACAACAACUAAACCUGCCUCCUCGGUAAUGACAUGGUCUGGUCUUAGCAUAGCUCCUCUUCCUGCCCGUGAUCACUGAGAUCGGGUGUCCUGGUGCUUCUGCCUCUGUGGAACCUGCCCCAGCCAUUCUGUUGGCUGAAGCCCACUCCCAGGCAGCCCUGACCCUUUCCCUUUAAAAAGCAAAAUACAAACUAUACAGUAGCCUAACAAAAUAGUAAAAGUAAAAACAAAGCCAAAAACAAUUAUACUAAAAUAAAACUAAUCCCCACCCCAAGUCAACAUUUAUCCCACACCAAACAAAAAUAAAAUAAAAUAAAAUAAAAAUAUAGAAAUAAAAACCACUGUUCACAGUGCAACAAAGUAAAAACACUUUAAAAACAUUUUAAAAUAUGUAAAACCAUUUUCGACAUUUGCUGCAGCCGUAGCAUCAACAGCAACGUCCUGAGGCCUCGCUGGAGCCUCUUAGAGCUGUGGUGGUGAGUGUGAAUUGGCCUUCCCCAACACUCACAUUGGCAGCAGCAGCAGUGUCCCAAGGCCUUGCUUAAACUUACAGUGGUUUGCUUCUUCCAUGACCAGUCAAACAAACAGUUGUUGUACAUACAGCACACACCAGAAGUGCUUUUACCAUCUAUGGGGUCACUUCCCAAACUUGCAUCAGCAUAUAUUUCAAGCCCUCCAGACAACCGUUUUAUCAUACUCAUCAGCAAAACACCGCCUCCAUGCACAAAUACCUCAAAUGGAUCAAACAACGCAGUAUUAUUGAAGGAGAGAAGCAGCAGCCACUGGGACCAGCUUAAUAUUCAUCUCCACAACUGCCUUUGACGCCACAGUUACUGAGCGGGGAGCUUGAGUUGGGCUCUAAUUGCUAAACAAGUAUCUGGAGGCAUCUGGUUUCCCUGGGAACAGCCACAGCUUUUUGAUUGCACUGAUUCAUAACAUUUUAUUUACCCCUUUAGGAGGAGCCAGGCCUGAGCCCAACAGAAAAGGAGAUGGAAUUGGGGAAAGGGCUGCUACAGAAGGGUCAAUUUCUGCCUAGCUUUUAGAAUGGCUCUCUCACAAAACCAUAUCCACCUGCAAGCUUCUAGGAAGCAGAUACCAAAUGAAUGUAUUGGCUGAGAUACAGAGGGACUGUCAUUCAAGCCAUUUGGAGGGUUGAGGGGGGAGAACAAAAGAAAGCAAUCCAUUAAGGUUGUGCAGAAAAGCUGGAGGACAAGGAGUCACUUCAGCAAAUGGCAAAUGUCAGUGCUUUGUGGAACAGACCCUGGAAAACAAGGAACCUGGAAUUGCCUGUCUUAGCAUCCAACUCUGUAGAAGGAAAGUGAAAUAUACCAAGUCGCGUAGUGAUUUCAUGCUCUUUAUUGCAGCUCAAAAAACAGUGAAUGGAUUUCCCCCCAAACCUCAGGCUUUAUAUACAUUAUUUACACAAUGAGUCCCGUCUGAUUGGUUGAUUCUGUUUCCCUCCUGGAGCCUGAUUGGGCUGCUACUGCAGGCCAAUCAGUUGUUGCACUCUAGGAUCCUACUGGCCUGUGCUGGUCCAGGGGGGAGGUUACCGUGGGGCGAGGUCCAGGACCCGAGUCAAGGGUCAGCAGACAGUCCUCCACGGGUGAAGCGGGGUCCACAGCGAGGAGCCGGGCAAGGACAGGAACUCUGGGCGAACCGGACUGGGUGCUGGCCGAAACAGCUCUUCAACAAUGUUGCUCCCGCAACCUGGGACCAGGCUGACUGGCCUUUAUCUUCUCUGAGGCCAGGGGCGGUCCCGGCCCCCAGGAGACCCACCUCUCCUGGCCUUAAGGUGAGCACUCCUCCUGGGAGAAACCAGUUCCCUCCGCCUCUCUGCCCUGAGCCUCUGCAGCUCAGGAGAGGCUGGAGGGUUACUGGACCCAGGGGGAGACUCACCUGUAGGCACUGAGUCCUCAUCCACCUCCGGAGCCAGAGUGGAUUCACCUGGUGCCUGCUCCUGAGGAUCUGGCACAGGUGCAGGUGCUUCAGAAUCAAGGCCCUGCCCCAGUUCAGCCGGCCCUGGAGGCGGGGACUCCUGUGCAGGCUGGGAUUCCUCCAGUUCAGCCUCUGAAUCGGAUUCCCAGGCCAUUACAGGCCUAAUAGGCUGCUUAACUUCCUCCUGGGGUCUGAUUGGGCUGCUCCUACAGGCCAAUCAGGUUGUUGCAUUCUAGGAUCCUACCUGCAUUCUAGGAUCCAAGCUUAGUACAUAACAGAAAGGUUGGAGUGAAUUCUGGAUAUCCCCCCUACCCCAACACACAUACACAAAUAAAUCAAUGGACCCAUGUUUUGGCACUGAUCGUUUCCCAUUCCUGGCAAACACUCACCAUCUCUGCUGGAAACACUAACAAUUAUCAGGUGUGUAUGAAGAGAGCACCGUAAAUUGGUGCCAAAUUUGGGGAAUUGUUAAAUGUCUGCACUGCAGAUAUUUAGGAUUAGUGCAGACAUGGUGCGAUGUAAGUCCAGUUCAUGCAUUACUCACAUGUAGAAUUUGCUCAUGUCUAAUUGGAGUGGAGCUGUACUUUUAGCUCUGCCCCAGCAUCAUGCCUCCUUUCUCAAAUGACCACAUUACCCUUGGUUGUUUGAAAAGUAGCUCCAAUCCACAAGCUCCUGUUAUCAUGUAGGGCCUCCUCAUGAUCAGGCCACAUGGAUGUGUGGGUGUCCUGUUCUCUCAGAGGUUUGUCUUUGCUUUUGGAAGGAGACUCCAUAUCAGGAGUGGGACUAAAAAUGUGGCCCCACUCACAACAAACAUGAUCAUGUCCUCUCUGAAAUCCUGGAGAGCUGCUUUGGUCUGUGUGGCCAAUACAGAGCCAGAGAGACCAGUGGUCUAAGUCUAGGGCAACUUCCUUUGUAGCUAGAGCCCAUAACACUGAAUAGAGCACUUGCAUUCUGAAAAUACUGUGGGACAUGUAAUAGGUCUCCACACCCAGAGACACAUGGCGCCUCCCAUACAAUACCUAUCAGCAAGAUCUAGGCUAGUAAUUUUCUACUUUUCAGAACUGAGACCCACACAUGCAUCUAGGAACCUCUUUCUUUCUUUCUUUCUUUCUUUCUUUCUUUCUUUCUUUCUUUCUUUCUUUCUUUCUUUCUUUCCCUCUCAUAUAGCUCUAUGGUGGCAGUGUUGCUGUUGCAACCCACCUUGGUUCAGGCUGUGACCCAGUAGUUGGUCUCCUGACUCACCACCUGAAGACCAGGAAUGGCUUUCCUACACAGAAAAAAAAUAGCCACACUUGCAGUGCACUGCUUCUCCUGCCCUUGCCGUGAAUAGUAAGACUUUCCCUGUAUGGAAGAAACUAAAGGGGUGCACUCAAGGACACCACUUAGGUAGAAAUUAAACUUCUCUCAUGUGACCUCAAGCUAUUGGGAAUCAGGCCUGCUCCCGUAUUGCAAAAACAAGCUUCAUCUGGAGGCCAGCUGGAUACCUCAUAAGCAAGCCAUAAAGGUGAUGACCAAUCCUUUUAUUACUUUCAUUAAUGUGUCUCCAGCAGCUUCCUUGGAUGGAGGUUGCAUUUGAUCAUGCAAGGCGUGAUUCCCAAUAUCUUUGGGUAGGAAUUCCAAAGGCCAAAGGAGCAGUUCAGGACACACACCUGGACUUUCUGCCACCUCUAACUGAUUGGCUAGCUCCGUGCAUUCUGCGGUUGUGACGCGCUUCUUUGCCGAGUGAGCCAAGGAAAGGCAGAAGGCGAUGCAAGCUGGAACAAGCUUUUCAGCACCUUAGACAGAGCACCCAAUGAAGAGCGCCGAGCUCUGUCCAAGGUACUGAAAUGCUUCAGCCUACGAGCAUGACAUCUCCCUGUGCGUCUUGACCAACCUACCUUCCCCGCCUAUCUCCCGGAGGGUCCUUCUGCAGACAUCGUUUUCUGCUUGCUGUCGCAGGCAUUAAAAAGGGUGGGGUAGGGGGUGAGUACUCAUUCAUUUGCAGUGUGCAAUGAAGGAAGGGAGUGAGGGCGUCAAAAACAGCAGAGGCGUCACAAUGCAGAUGUCUGUUCCCUGGACAGCAGCCUGCGUAGGAAGUGCCAGAGCAAAAACAGAGCGAGCUACAGACAGAGCCACCACAGCAGAGGCGAAGAAUCUCCCCUUUCAAAUAAAUAACCGGCUGAUGGUCUCCCUCCUCCUCCCCUGCUUGCUCCAGCCUACGCAAGUUCCUUGCCAGAAAAUUAAACUCCCUCCUUGGGGAGGCCACCUGCGGGGGAGGAAAACUGAGAGAUGACUGCGAAAGAGCAAUUUUCACCCACAGGUGACUGGAAACAUAAGCCUGGCAUAGCCAGCCAGCCAACCUCCCCUCCCAGCCCCCAACCACCACUAGCAGGGCUGCCAGCUGAUCAGAAAACAAGCACUCUGGCUCAUUUCCUGCCUUUAACAGCAGACUGUUACAUACAGGAAUCAGGAGGGGAAGCUUUUCAGGGCAUGGAGAUAAGAAAGGUGGCCUGUUGGGGUCUGUACCUCAAAUAAAAUCAGAGCCAGAGGUUGGUGCAAAGAGGUUGGUAACCCUCACUGUCCAUCCCCAAACUUUAAACCUUUCCUCUCAAGUCUCCAGCCUUCUAAAACCAGGGGUAGCACAGGUGUGCCUUCAACAGAUGAUGCCCAUAUCAGUGCAUCACUAUGGCUAUAAAGCUUUACCUGUUGAUUUUCUACCUGUCACACAAUUGUUAAGCAUAGAAGCUCUGCAAGGAAAGGUUGCAUGCUACCUUAGCCUUACCUCCUGAUCAUCCUUCUUUCCCAUCCUGCAUCUUGCCUAUAAGCCCUUAAGGCCACCUCCAGAAAUGCUAAAUCUAAACCAUCUCCUCCCUCCCCCAUUACCUGCACCAUGCAGUAACCACAAACUCCUAUUGAGGAGUGGCAAUACUGGAGGGCAGCAGAAGCAGUCACAAACACACAGGAUUUCAACUAUUCCUUGCAUAAUCUGAGUAUUCAUAUGAUUUUUUGCUAUUUUAAUCUUGAAUAUAUCAAAACAUGAACCUCUGAGCCUUGAGGUGGACCCCCCUGCAGUGGAAUCCCACCCUAACUCUAAAUGCAGUACCAGACAUCAGGUAUGGAAUGGGUCAACUCACAGUAGGUUCACCUGGCAAUAUAGGACCAGGACUGUUACAAGGUGCCCUCAACCAUCAUGUCACCGGCCAAUAUGAUCUUAGUAUGGACUUCUUUUUCAAUCCCCUUAAUAGAGUAUUCCCAGAGGGAAUAGGAAAGGUAAGAUGGAAAGUAGGAUGCUGAAGAAUAUUUGGAGGAUGGGUGUUGUCAGGGCUGCCUCAAGUCUCAGCUCACAAAAGACCAACGCCUAUCUCUUCUUAUAUACAAAAGUGUUUAUUGCAGUUCAUUGAUUGCUUCACAUCCGAGGCGCGCAGCCCUACGUCUGCUACGCUUAGACCGCUGAAGUCUCCUCUGAAUCCGUCCCUCCCCUGCACCAGUUUAAGAGGCUUGCGCUGCUCCACCUCUUUCUUUCUUUCCUUUUCCGCAGGGUCUUUCUGCCCACUGGGCUUUCGCCCCUCCUGGAUUCCUCUGACGCGGAAUCCCCAGACUGCUCUUGCCCCCUCCUGCGGGCUUUGGGACCUGGCCCCUCCUCCGGGCUCCCUGUACUUCCGCGCGCCUCUACAUUUGAACUUGGCGCGCGCGCCCAACCUCUAACCUUCCUUUUAACAGCUACACUACUCCCUUCACUACUCCCCUCCCCUUCCGGGAGGGUGACUUGCUCCGACCUCCCUCCCUUCUCUGCUGCCGGAGCCGCUUCCCCUGAUACACUGAAACCUCCACCCCCUUCGCUGCACUCUGGCGGGGAGGCUGGUCCUGACACCCAGCUGCCACUUUGGGAUGUCCCGCUGGCCCCCUGCUCCUGACACGUCCCCCUUGGGGCUCCCCUGGGCUUGACCACCGGCGCCCCUUCUGGGAAUCCUCUGAUUCGCUGGAAAGACUCAUGGAAUCUCUUGAGUCAUUGUCAUCCUCUUCCUCGCUGUCCUGGGAUUCAUCCCCAUCGCUCUCCAUCUCCUGCCUACCCUGUGCCUCUGUCCCUGAACCCCUGACAGGUGUGAAUGCCUGUGUCCAUUCUGGGUGCCACAAUUUAAGAAGGAUAUUGACAAGUUAGAACAUGUGUAGAGAAGGGCGACCAAGAUGAUCAAGGGUCUGGAAAUCAAGUCUUAUGGUGAACAGUUGAGGGAGUUGGGCAUGUUUAGUCUGGAAAAGAGGAGUCUGAGAGGAGAUAUGAUGGCUGUCUUCAAGUAUCUAAAGGGCUGUCCCAUGAAAGAUGAAGCAGGCUUAUUUUCUCCUGCUCUGGAGGGUAGGACCUGUGGGAUGUAUUAUUACUAGAGCAGUCAAGUACAACAUUUUCCUGUUGCCUAGAAUUGACACACAGGGCAAUGUGGCUCCAGACAGGGAGGACUUCCUGUCAUACGUGCUCUGAAGCUUCCUCCCUCUGUGUGUGACCAGGUAAAUGGGUGUAACCCUAGCUGACCAGAUAACCAUCUUUCUCUUGGAUUCUUACUCUUACUCUUACUCUUGGACUCUCGCUCUCCUGGCUCUUAGGAUGGAGCCUGCAAGCAGAAAGUCUGAGAUGUAGCUCACACUGUAACCAUAAGAUUACUGUAACCAUAAGAUAAAGCCUGCCUUCAGAUUACUGCUGUGAACUGAAUGUGAGUAAAACGUUAUUCUUACUUUUAAAGAAAACUGUUGUGUUAUUAUUAUUUUAAGAGGGCAAUAAAGGGGAAACUUAACAGGAAUAAUCCAGACUGGAGAAGCAAAACUGGACUGCUUAAUCAAAGGAUUCUAAUGAAUCAUCAACUUGCUUCCAAUAAGUUGCAAAGGGAAUGUUUACUCUCUAGUGUGAGUGAGGAGGGAUAAUAUCAAAACAAUAUAUCUUCUCCUACCUUCCUUAAUACUACCUUGCUUAAAAAACAGGACCUGAACCAUUGGCUUCAAGCUACAAGAAAAGAGAUUCUGACUAAAUAUCAAGAAGAACUUUCUGAUCGGGAGAGCCUUUUGAUGGUGGAAUAUGGACUCCCUUGGAACAAGGUGGAUUCUCCUUCCCUUCCUUGGAGGUUUUUAAUCAGAGGGCCAUCUAUCAUGGGUGCUUUAGUGGAGAUCCCUGCAUUGCUGGGGGUUGGACUAGAUGACCCUCAGGCACCCCUCCACUCUACAGUUAUAUGAUUCUAUGUCUCCUUUAUAUUUUCCGGAUAUGUUCACAAUAUUUGGAAAUUAAUUAGCAUCCUGCUGCCUUGCACUUGCACCACCAUACUUUGUUGUGAGACUGGGCCCAACAGGCUACCAUUAAUAUGAUACAUUGACAGAGCAUCAAUAUGAUUCAGCAACCACUCCACAUAUUUCAAUAGUAAACGGAACAUGAUUUACAACCCAUUCUUCAGCUCAAUUUAAACUCCCUUCCUGGUACUUAAGGGAGGUGGAGCUCAGAAAGGCUCAUUAAGGAGGAAAUGAUUAAUGAGGGCCCAUGACACCACAGUGAUGCCUGGGUCACAUGCAUUUCAUGCUUGCAUCACUCCCCCCUUCUCACUGCUCUGGCAGUAGCCACACACAAACAUCUCCUUCUCCAAAUCCCCUGAUUUCCAAACCACUGGCUAUCAGUACAAUACUUGGGCUGCAAUCCUGUUUCCUUACUUGGCAUGGGUUCCACUGAAUGCAGUGAGAGUUGCUUCAGAGUAAACAUUCCUAGGAAAUGUGCCCUUUUGGCCCAUUGACUGUUACUCUUUCCCCACACCAUUCCCUUUUUAUAUCCCAUUUUAAAGGUCCAAUUUUCCUACUCUGGAACAGGAGCCCAGAACUCAAGUCCUGACUCUGCCACCAACCUGCCAAGUUGUGUUUAGAAUAGUGAUGGCGAGCCUCUGGCCUCCAGGUGUUGUUAGACUCUGAACUCCCACUGGGGCUGAAGGGAGCUGGAGUCCUGCAAUAGCUGAAGGUUCCCCAUCUCUAAAGAACACAUCCCUGCAUCUUUUUCAUAAAGUUAAAUGUAAGACAAGCUGUAAAGCACUUUGCACUGCCAUUGGAAUGGCCCCAGAAGCACAUACUUUGCUGGUUGCUCGCUAUAUAUUGAUUAUAGAUCAUUCAUAUAUAUAAUGGAUAAUAUAGUUCUAAAAGGAAUGAUUAUCUUACAUUAAUAGGCCAAUUAACAAUCAUACAUUUAAGUAUAGAUUUGUCAUUAAUAGCUAUUAUUUAAACUUAAAGAUACCACUUCUGUGCUUUCUUUAGAUGCUACUUUCUUUUUGUUAUUAUUGGUGUUACAAUAUGUAAAGGGGAGGAAAUUAAGAUCAAGAGGGAGAGAAGAAGAGUGUCACCCUUUGGCUUCAAUUGUGGGGUUUCUCUGGUUAAUUUGCUGUGCCCUCUUCCUACCUCUGGCUCUGCAGGCUGUUUCCAGGCCUCCUCCCACCCUCUUAUGCCCCAGCAGCUCCAUAAAAGGCUCUCUCAUCCUCCCCCCACCUCCAAAUGCAAUCAAUUUCUGUCACCCAUGCACAGGUCUGGAAAAUUAAUAAGGAAUGGAAAAUGAAGAGUCAUCCUGUUUCAAAACGCCAGGAGAUAAUGUGUGCAGGGAAGGAUGUCUGUGUAAAAAAAGAUGAUGAAAAAAUGCCAGUGCACAGCUCUGAGGAAAUGGUGGUGGUAUGUGCUGUUGUUGCAGCCGCAACAGCAGUGGGAUUGCACUCCAGACAUAUCUAGCAUAAAGAAUGCAAAGGUUCAUUUAGCUCAGCAUCCUGCUCCUCACAGAAGCCAGCCUCUUACUCCUGAGAAGUUUGUAAGCAGAAACAGCCUUGCCAUUUGCUUGCCAUUUGCUCCCAGCUGGUAUUCAGAGGUAUCCUGCCUCUGGGGUGGAGUUGGGCUACGAUUCCUACCAUCUCUGACUAUUGGGCCAUGCUGGGUGGGGCUGGUGGGAGCUGGAAUGGGAACAUCUAAAGGGCCAAAGGUUUCCCACCCCUCACUUAAAGCUUCCAUUUAGCAAUCAUAGCUAAUGGCCAUUGGCUGAACUUGUCUGACAAAACCUUCCAUUUCAGCAAGCCAGUCCAGACGCAUGAUGGAGUUAUCUAAUAUCUAUAUUUGUUUUACAAGUGCUAUUGAUUUUAUCAUUGUUUCUAAAGAGUGAUGUAGUUUAGGAACUGGCUCCCUCAGUCAUGUGUAUUUAGCUCAUAAGCCUUAACCAAACUUUACCACCUUUUAUUUCACUAAAAUUCUGGAUACAAGCAUUUGUGCUACUCUUCAUCAGGGUGAUAUUGUGAAUCUGCAGAUAGGACAAUAGCUAGGGAAGCAUCCUAUUGACCUGCCUCUGAAUAUCAGAAUGUUUUGUGCGUCCCAUUUCUCCCUUUCACCCCCACUUCCAAACACAGAUGCAAGUUCUGCCUAAUUCAUCCACUUCUAUCUAGACUCUUUUAACAUUAACAAAAUGAAAGGUUUCAAUGUUGCUGGAUUCAGGUUUAUAAGUCACAUUACACAAAACCGUUGAUGGAGGACAUCCACUCUGCACAGCAGGCUGUGCCUUUAGGUAAACUUAAUUGGCCUGCAAGCCAGGGGGAGCUGCAUCAUAAGCAAGGCAGCUGGUGUUUUUUAGGUGCCUUUCACAGCAUCACAAUAGGAUGUUGGGGCACAAUACACUGGGAACCUAUUUCUUUGGCUGCGUAUUCACUAAUACUUUAAAGCACAUUGGAAGUACAUAUCUGGGCACUGUAGUUUCUUGGGGGCUGCUGGCAAUUGCAACUCUGUGAAGUGUAAACUGCAGCACCCAGAACCCUUCAAGGGAAAGAAUAUGUUUCAAAAGAGUAUUCAAAGAUAUAGUGUGCACACAGCCUUGGUGGAUUGUACACCAUGUUAGGGUGGAACUACCCAUGACACUUGACACACAGCUGCCACUCAGACUGGCAUCCCAGAGUCAAGCUUGUCUUUUCUGCCAUAUUUUGUAGCACCCCUUUUGCUUGAGAUUUCCCCAUCCUUGCUAGUGAAUGACUUAAGUGAGGAAUAUCACAUGGUGACCAUGUUAUAGCAUGGGGUAGGUGACCUUUUCCAUUAUGGGGAACGUUACCUUCUGUAGCACAGGGUGGUGUGUCAUUUUCUGCUGUGGACCCAUGCCAAGUACAAUGUGUCAUUCCACUCUGAAUUAGUGGCCAAUGCUAGGUAGUGUGCUGCCAUUUGUAUUGACAGCCCAUUGGAGCACUGGUCAGGGCUGUUAGACUGCUCGGAACUGAAGCAUAUCCAUCAAAGCUGAAGAAACAGAAAACUCAGGUAGAGUAAUGCCAGGGAAAGUUAUUUUCAGGAAACCAUUUAUAAACAAUUACUAGUAAAAAGAUAAAAUAAAAAAGAAGCAUAUGGCAGCGCCUCUUUAGUCCCUUUUCUCAGAGGCAGACUGGGUUCCUCUAGUGUUCUAGCAGUCGAAAAACUUUGACCCCUCCACCCUGCUGGGUAUUAAGGCAGGUGUUUUCUUCAGCAUGCCUUUGUCCACACGCCAUUCCACUUUAUUUGAUGUUAGCAAUGCUUCUCCAGAGUAAACACAUUGUUGUCAUCCGGAGGGGUACUCUUGUGCUAUAGCUCGACAGAACAGGACACACAGAGAGGGGGGAGUGUUUGUGGUAUCAAAAGUUACAAGAUUUCAGCAGGAAGAUAUGGGACAUGCACUGAUUGGGUAUGUCCACCCUGCACCUUUUGGCGGCACAAACAGUAUUGAAAGCGGGAUCACACACAGCCACACCAAUGCCAUCAUGAACACACUGCCUCUCACCACCCCUGUUUUCGUUUUCUAAGGAAUUAAUUGAAGCUGACCUAGGAAAUACUUGAGAGGAUACAGAGGUGGGGGAGCAUCUUUUGUUUUGAUGCACAGCACUAGCUAAAUUUUAAUCACAGUGAAACAUUUCCCCAGCGCUCUCCAAUCAGUGAUUUCGGUGUUAAGUAAAUACGCAGGGUUGUGCAUACAUGGCCCAUUUUUCACCUCUGAAUUUCAUUUUGAAAGCAGGACAUAAGUAAUGGAGUUUGACCAUAGAGGUGACCUGCAUCAAAAAUCACCUUUGGCAGGAAUUUUACCUCCUAUAUCUCACUCACCAUUUUUCUAGAAGAAGAAGAAGAAGAAUUCUACUCAUUGAUGGAAAAGAUCACUGAAUGGGAGAUGUUGUGUUUGGAAGGAGUUAGAGGAGAAUUGCUACUUUGUUCAAUCCAGGAAACAACAUACUGGGAUUGGAUCAAAAUGGAGAACUAUAAAAAGGCAUGACAUAUACUUGGAGUCCUGCAGUGAUUUCAUGCUCUUUAUUGCAGCUUGUAAAACAGUGAUUGAAUUGCCCCCCAAACCUCAGGCUUUUAUAUACAUUAUUUACACAAUGAGUCCUGUCUGAUUGGCUGAUUCUGCUUCCCUCCUGGAGCCUGAUUGGUCUUUUCCUGCAGGCCAAUCAGUUGUUGCAUUCUAGGAUCCUAGCAGCCUAAUAGGCUGAUUAACUUCCUCCUGGAGCCUGAUUGGUCUUCUCCUGCAGGCCAGUCAGUUGUUGCAUUCUAGGACCUGCCUAUUAUUCUAGGAUCCAGGCUUAGUACAUAACAAGGCAAAACAUUUUUUUUAAUGCUCAUAGAAAAUUUAACUCACUAGUAAAUUCCAGAGGGUGAUUAAGAGAAUUCAUGUAAGGAUUUACCACCAGGUUUUCACUCUCCCAUUAAUUUGCACAAAUGAUCAACAGUCUGGCUACAGCUAAUAUAAAGCAUGGGUGGAGAACCUGUGUCCCCCCCCCCGAUAUUGUUGUACUACAACUCCCAUCAGCCCCAACCAGGCGUGAUAGAAAGGAGUCCAGCUAAAUCCAGAAAGUUCACAGGUUCCCCAUCCUUAAUAUAAAUCAUUGGAAUUGUAUAUACUGUAUAUUGAAAGCAGGUAAAUACAUAAUUCCAUAAACCAUGUUUAAACUCUCCCAAGAAAAAAAACAAAGAUCCCCCUGAAAGGAAAGGAAAGGAAAACAACAGGAUUUUUCUGAUGAGGUUGGAGUUGAUCUCUGGGGUAAGCUGGUUGUCCAUUUGCAGCUCAGGGAAGAACUAUCUGAAUGGCAGAAGCGGGAAGCUGUGGCCUUGCUGCUGUUGCACACACUUUCCCAAUGGUGGCUAAUAAUGAUCCCUGCUUGAGCUUAAUUACCUCCCUACUAUCAUGGAGGGCAAAAAUCACUAGAGCUGUGAAGUGAGAAAUUUACUAGACUGUGCUGCCUGCUGUGAAAGCAAUGACUGUGCAGUCCCAUCUAUGAGUACUGAUGUGGGGAGAAGGGAGGGAAGGACUGGUCUUCAAGACUUAUAUGGGAGAAGUGGUAUGCUAGAUUCUCUGCCCCCUAUUCUUUUAGCAGAAUUCUUUGCCUUUUAUAACAGCUGUGAAAGUAACAGAAAUCCAGCUGCUGAAACCAACAUGUUACAAUAGGGAAAUGUUCACCUAAAGGCAACGGUGCUCUUGUCGUAUAUAUAAAAUUAUAUAAUACACACACACACAGGUUACACAGAAACUGGGAAAAUGACAAAUUGUUCUUUGAACAUCAGCUAUUAAGGAGUUUUCUCAUAGCCGGUCAGACAAUUUGUGCGCCUCUCCCACUAUAGGCUAUUCUGACUGGGAAGAGCUUUGUAGUGAUUCAGACAAAGACUCUUCCCCAGUACAUGCUACAACCAAUGAAGACUAUGUUCUACUACCACUGUCGGAGGGGGGUGUGCCUCUGAAUAUCAGUUCCUGGGAAUCACAAGUGGAGAGAGAGUUCACUGUGCUCCCUCAUUCCUGCUUGUGGUCUUCCCAUUUUGGUCAUCUGGUUGUCCACUGCGGCAGUAGGCUGUUGGACUCAAGGGGCCACUGGCUUGAUCCAGCAGCCAGGCUCUUCUUGCCUUCUUAUGUGCCUAAUCCUUCUUUCCUUUUUUCUUUAUUGCUGGAGAUGCCUGGGAUUGAAAUUGAUAUGAUCCCCAUGCAAAGAACAUGACCUGCCACUGAACUAUUGACUCUCUCCUACACUAGGUACCCAGAAAAGAUGCCCAAAGGCUGUCAGUGGUUGCAGUCCCUUAACACCUGGAAUGAAGAACCUGCUGUUGGAUGGCAACUCUCAUCAGCCCCAGCUACCAAGCACAAUUGUCAGGGAUGGUGGGAACUGUAGUCAUCGAGCAGCUACAGAGUCUCCAUCUACACUUAUCCUGGGAAUACAUGGAGCUACUUUAAAUUAACUGAAGCCAUUUGUUCAGUCAGAUCAGUUUUCACCCAGGUGGGGGCACAAGAACCAGGAGUAGUCCAGAGACACACCGUCAGACUCCCCAUGUCUCUUAUUCCAGUGCCAGGAUCUGGAUGGUGAACUACUUCUGCACAACAAAAAUGCACUGAGCAACACUUUGGAAAAUGAUGUUGCAUUUGACAGGUGGCAAUUAAGUGCUGCCACCACCACAACAAAGGACUCCCCCCCAAAAUGAAAGUUUACAAUAAGGAAUUGGGGAGAGGGAAGUGGCAGGGCAGACUUUUGCCCCCUAUGGCAAAUUUUGUAGAUCCAGCACAGCCUUUCAGUAACUUAAAUCCUUCCAGGGCCCUGAUCUUACUUGCAUGUCAAGAGACCCAAGAUGUAUUAAUAUACUGAAAUAAGCAAACUACCACAUCAUGUUACUUUGGUUACAUUUCACAUGGGAGGUUGGAGGAUCGUUCAAACUCAAAUGCUGAAACCCAGCCAAUUUCCAACUCUGCUGUUUCCAGUCUCGCACAAGUACCUAUUAGAUUCCAUCUCCACAUUUGUUCCCUCUUGGCACCAAAAGAGGUUUCUCCUGCCAUUGUUGUAAAAAUCCAGUGACCUGAUGCAACCUGUGCUUCAUCUCUCAGUCAUGGGUCAACGCUUGUUCAGCAAGUCUGAAUUCUCCAGUUUGCUGAACAGCACUUGGUCUGUGGCAAUGAGCUGGACCCUUUCCACAGCAAAAGCUGGUGCCUCCUAUUACAAUGGCAGCCAUACAUUGCAAAUGGUGGCAUAAAAGUUGCUCCUUCCUGUGUUGCUGGGGCACCGUAGAAAGCCCCAGCCCAUAUGCCAGGAAUGUAAUGGCAGCACCACACAAGUUCUCUUAGGAUCAGUGUUGGAUCAGUUCUGGCAGCACCACACAAGUUCUCUUAGGAUCAGUGUUGGAUCAGUUCUGGCAGCACCACACAAGUUCUCUUAGGAUCAGUGUUGGCAUGGUUUAUGGCUCUAACCAUAGAGAGGCC